AUGGAGGCCAAGGACGUCGCGCCGCUCACCGCCGCCGCCCCCACCGCGCCGGCCCCGGCCCCGGCCCCUGCCCCUGCCCCGGUUUCGCAGGCUAAGCCGCAGCCGCCGCCGCAGCCGCACACGCAGCCACCGCCGAUCGCCUCCAUGCCGCCGCCACCGCAUCCGUUCGCGCACCAUCAGCACCACCACCAUCACCAGCACCAGCAGCAGCAGCAACAGCAGCCGCCGGCUGGGUCGGCGAACCCUGCCGCGCCCAUGCCGGGAGGCGGCAUGAGGCUCUCGUUCGACCAGAUGGUGGGGAAGCCGCCCGGGGAGCACCACCCUCACCAGCACCAGCACCCGCAUCAGCAUCAGCAUCAGCACCCGCACCAGCAUCACCCUCCGGGCCCCAUGCUCUACGCCGCGCCGCCGCCCCACGCUGUGGCGCCACCGCCGGGCAGCAAUGCGCUCGGCAUGGGCGACCUUAUGCGCAAGAAGCGGGGCCGCCCGCGCAAGUACGCGCCCGACGGGAGCAUGGCCCUCGCGCUCGCGCCCCUCUCCUCCGCCUCUGGCGGCGCCGCGCCGCCCCCGCCUCCAGGCCAGCAGCACGGCUUCUCCAUCAGCAGCCCCCCGUCCGAUCCCAACGCCAAGCGUCGCGGCCGCCCCCCUGGCUCCGGCAAGAAGAAGCAGUUCGAAGCACUCGGGUCGUGGGGCAUCUCCUUCACUCCGCACAUCCUCUCCGUCAAGGCCGGCGAGGAUGUUGCUUCAAAAAUAAUGUCCUUCUCACAGCAAGGACCUCGCACAGUUUGCAUUCUUUCAGCAAAUGGUGCAAUAAGCAAUGUAACACUUCGGCAGCCAGCUACAUCUGGUGGACUGGUGACGUACGAGGGUCGAUUUGAGAUCAUCUCCCUAUCUGGUUCAUUCCUGCUUGCAGAAGAUGGUGACACCCGUAGCAGGACUGGUGGAUUGAGUGUUGCACUUGCAGGAUCUGAUGGCCGGGUUCUUGGUGGAUGUGUAGCUGGGCAGCUAACGGCUGCGACACCUGUUCAGGUUGUCGUAGCUAGUUUCAUAGCCGAAGGUAAAAAAUCAAAGCCCGCUGAGCCACGGAAGGUUGAACCGAUGUCCGCACCUCCACAGAUGGCCACCUAUGUGCCAGCUCCAGUGGCCAGCCCUCCCUCAGAGGGCACAUCCAGCGCAUCAUCUGAUGACUCCGGCAGCCCCAUCAACCACGGCGGGAUGCCCUACAACCACUCUGGUGGGCAGCAGCACCAGCAGCAGCACAUGCCCCCUGCGUAUGCAUCCGGCGGCUGGUCACUCUCGGCGCACCAUCAGAACAACAACAGGCAUGACGCCGACAUGAAGAUGAUGUCGAACUAA
RNAcentral lists this ribosomal RNA (1356 nucleotides) under Triticum aestivum (bread wheat). RNAcentral describes it as "partial small subunit ribosomal RNA". The record is from RNAcentral. Lineage: Eukaryota; Viridiplantae; Streptophyta; Magnoliopsida; Poales; Poaceae.